This 253-nucleotide ribosomal RNA is filed under the name uncultured bacterium. RNAcentral's name for it is "partial 16S ribosomal RNA". It matches the Rfam family "Bacterial small subunit ribosomal RNA", at positions 524 to 776 of the family's 1533-position model. The record is from RNAcentral.
UACGGAGGAUCCAAGCGUUAUCCGGAUUUAUUGGGUUUAAAGGGAGCGUAGGCGGCUCAUUAAGUCAGGGGUGAAAGUUUGCAGCUCAACUGUAAAAUUGCCUUUGAUACUGAUGAGCUUGAAUGUAGUUGAGGUGGGCGGAAUGUGACAAGUAGCGGUGAAAUGCAUAGAUAUGUCACAGAACACCAAUUGCGAAGGCAGCUCACUAAGCUAUGAUUGACGCUGAGGCUCGAAAGCGUGGGGAUCAAACAGG